Molecule: ribosomal RNA, 497 nt
Filed under: uncultured bacterium
Lineage: Bacteria
Description: partial 16S ribosomal RNA
Rfam family: Bacterial small subunit ribosomal RNA (bases 18-377)
Source: RNAcentral
GAUGAACGCUGGCGGCGUGCCUAAUACAUGCAAGUCGAGCGAACAGACGAGGAGCUUGCUCCUCUGACGUUAGCGGCGGACGGGUGAGUAACACGUGGAUAACCUACCUAUAAGACUGGGAUAACUUCGGGAAACCGGAGCUAAUACCGGAUAAUAUAUUGAACCGCAUGGUUCAAUAGUGAAAGACGGUUUUGCUGUCACUUAUAGAUGGAUCCGCGCCGCAUUAGCUAGUUGGUAAGGUAACGGCUUACCAAGGCAACGAUGCGUAGCCGACCUGAGAGGGAGAGGGGCCAAGAGUGAGAGGGGAAGCGGGAAAGAGGAAGGCGGGAGGAAGCAGGAGGGAAGGGGAGGCAAUGGGCGAAAGCUGGACGGAGUAAAGUAGGGGGAGGGAGGAAGGGGGUAGGGGAGUAAAAAUGUGUUAGUAGGGAAGAACAAAUGGGUAAGUAAAGAUGCAAGGAGGGACGGGACCUAAGCAGAAAGCCAGGGCUAAAGAGGUG